AUUGAACGCUGGCGGCAUGCCUUACACAUGCAAGUCGAACGGCAGCACGGGAGCAAUCCUGGUGGCGAGUGGCGAACGGGUGAGUAAUAUAUCGGAACGUGCCCAGUCGUGGGGAUAACGUAGCGAAAGCUACGCUAAUACCGCAUACGAUCUAUGGAUGAAAGCGGGGGAUCGCAAGACCUCGCGCGAUUGGAGCGGCCGAUAUCAGAUUAGGUAGUUGGUGAGGUAAAGGCUCACCAAGCCGACGAUCUGUAGCUGGUCUGAGAGGACGACCAGCCACACUGGGACUGAGACACGGCCCAGACUCCUACGGGAGGCAGCAGUGGGGGAAUUUUUGGACAAUGGGCGCAAGCCUGAUCCAGCAAUGCCGCGUGCAGGAUGAAGGCCUCGGUUGUAAC
RNAcentral lists this ribosomal RNA (398 nucleotides) under uncultured bacterium. RNAcentral's name for it is "bacterial SSU rRNA". It matches the Rfam family "Bacterial small subunit ribosomal RNA", at positions 30 to 429 of the family's 1533-position model. The record is from RNAcentral.